UACGUAGGGUGCAAGCGUUGUCCGGAAUUAUUGGGCGUAAAGAGCUCGUAGGCGGUUUGUCGCGUCUGCUGUGAAAACCCGAGGCUCAACCUCGGGCCUGCAGUGGGUACGGGCGGACUAGAGUGCGGUAGGGGAGAUUGGAAUUCCUGGUGUAGCGGUGGAAUGCGCAGAUAUCAGGAGGAACACCGAUGGCGAAGGCAGAUCUCUGGGCCGUAACUGACGCUGAGGAGCGAAAGCGUGGGGAGCGAACAGG
This 253-nucleotide ribosomal RNA is filed under the name uncultured bacterium. RNAcentral describes it as "partial 16S ribosomal RNA". It matches the Rfam family "Bacterial small subunit ribosomal RNA", at positions 524 to 776 of the family's 1533-position model. The record is from RNAcentral.